GUGCCAGCCGCCGCGGUAAUACGUAGGGUGCAGGCGUUAAUCGGAAUUACUGGGCGUAAAGCGUGCGCAGGCGGCUCUUUAAGUCAGAUGUGAAAGCCCCGGGCUUAACCUGGGAAUUGCGUUUGAAACUGGAGAGCUGGAGUGUGGAAGAGGGGGGUGGAAUUCCAGGUGUAGCAGUGAAAUGCGUAGAGAUCUGGAGGAACACCGAUGGCGAAGGCAGCCCCCUGGGCUAACACUGACGCUCAUGCACGAAAGCGUGGGGAGCAAACAGGAUUAGAUACCCUCGUAGUCC
This 292-nucleotide ribosomal RNA is filed under the name uncultured bacterium. RNAcentral describes it as "partial 16S ribosomal RNA". It matches the Rfam family "Bacterial small subunit ribosomal RNA", at positions 505 to 796 of the family's 1533-position model. The record is from RNAcentral.